The sequence is a small RNA, 76 nucleotides long. It matches the Rfam family "Flavo-1 RNA".
CCCUAGCCCUGAUGGAAACGGCAUCCUUUUAUGGUGGGGUUCACCAUAAAAGAUAUAGUGGACAUCAGGAAAUAGC